CAAGUAUAAUUACGUCUAAUUAGGGGUUGAAUCAUAUCUUCAGUAAAGGUACAUAUUCAAUAAUGAGAUCUGUGGAUGGGAACAUGUCUCCAGUUGAGGUGUUGAUGAAGGAAAUUCAGAAAUGCUCAGACAAAUGGAGCAAGCGGACACAUAAAUCCACGUCGCCCUGGACGUCAGAGGGGGCAUUUGAUCUGAGGCAGUGUGCAGAGAUGCAGGGUUUUAUAAAAACCUAUAAGAUAAAAGACAAAUCUGUAAAGCGAGGCCUUAAACGGGAAAGAGAAAAUGCAGUGUUGCAAUUGUUUAUUAACUGUGCAAAAAUGAUGGGCAAAAAGACGACUCAGUGUGGUGAUAAUCAAUUUAAUCAGAUCUCUAUAACUAAGUCUCUUUCAGAUGCGUCCCAGAUGGAUGCAGAAGAAACAAAACCUUUACGGACAAAGAAGCCAGUUCACCCUGUAGCUGAUCUAGAAGGGACAGACAGGGCAGUGAAAAGGGAUGAGUUGUUAGAACUGCCCGACAUUUAUUUAAAAACAGAGAAAAUCUCAAUUGGAAAUUCCUGCAGUGAAAGUGAUCUGCGUGACAGAGCAGUUAGAUCACUGUGGGCUGAGUCAGAUGAGGAAUCAGUGUGUGUGGGUGACGAACGGGUAAAUGAGGUUUCUGAUGGACUUCCUCUGCUGGUCAAAGGGGCAAAGCGUCAAAAUCUGCCCUGGCCUUCAAGACCAGAUCAGAAUGAUCUGACUGACACUGUGGAACUUUGGAACUUGUCACUAGACCAAAUAACUGAGCAUGUGAUUCAUGCUGUUGAGCUGCGUCAGAAGCAGGCAAAGGAGGCAACAUCACCUGAGGUGUGGCCAUGCCUGGUGGUGUAGGUGGGGUCUGAGGCACGCUGGCUGGUUGAGCAGACACCAUCCUCCUCUCUCUUUUCUCCCCCUCUUUUCGCUGCUGCUGGCGUGUUGCUUCUUUCACUGCCUCCUUUGCCUGCUUUUGACGCAGCUCAACAGCAUGAAUCACAUGGUCAGUUAUUUGUUCUAGUGACAAGUUGCAAAGUCCCACAGUGUCAGUCAGAUCAUUCUGAUCCGGUCUUGAAGGCCAGGGCAGAUUUUGACGCUUUGCCUCUUUGACCAGCAGAGGAAGUCCAUCAGAAACCUCAUUUACCCGCUCGUCACCCACACACACUGAUUCCUCAUCUGACUCAGCCCACAGUGAUCUAACUGCUCUGUCACGCAGAUCACUUUCACUGCAGGAAUUUCCAAUUGAGAUUUUCUCUGUGUUUAAAUAAAUGUCGGGCAGUUCUAACA
This 1295-nucleotide long non-coding RNA is filed under the name Betta splendens (Siamese fighting fish). Its description in RNAcentral is "lncRNA (ENSBSLG00000008076.1)". Lineage: Eukaryota; Metazoa; Chordata; Actinopteri; Anabantiformes; Osphronemidae. The record is from RNAcentral.